CAAGCGGUGGAUGAUGUGGUUUAAUUCGAUGCAACGCGAAAAACCUUACCCACCUUUGACAUGUACGGAAUUUGCCAGAGAUGGCUUAGUGCUCGAAAGAGAACCGUAACACAGGUGCUGCAUGGCUGUCGUCAGCUCGUGUCGUGAGAUGUUGGGUUAAGUCCCGCAACGAGCGCAACCCUUGUCAUUAGUUGCUACAUUUGGUUGGGCACUCUAAUGAGACUGCCGGUGACAAACCGGAGGAAGGUGGGGAUGACGUCAAGUCCUCAUGGCCCUUAUAGGUGGGGCUACACACGUCAUACAAUGGCUGGUACAAAGGGUUGCCAACCCGCGAGGGGGAGCUAAUCCCACAAAACCAGUCGUAAUCCGGAUCGCAGUCUGCAACUCGACUGCGUGAAGUCGGAAUCGCUAGUAAUCGUGGAUCAGAAUGUCACGGUGAAUACGUUCCCGGGUCUUGUACACACC
Molecule: ribosomal RNA, 465 nt
Filed under: uncultured bacterium
Lineage: Bacteria
Description: bacterial SSU rRNA
Rfam family: Bacterial small subunit ribosomal RNA
Source: RNAcentral